UACGUAGGGGGCAAACGUUGUCCGGAUUUACUGGGUGUAAAGGGCGCGUAGGCGGGUUUGUAAGUCAGAGGUGAAAUCCUGCGGCUCAACCGCAGAACUGCCUUUGAUACUGCAAAUCUUGAGUGCAGAAGAGAGAAGCAGAAUUCCAGGUGUAGUAGUGAAAUACGUAGAUAUCUGGAAGAAUACCGGCGGCGAAGGCGGCUUCUUGGUCUGUAACUGACGCUGAGGCGCGAAAGCGUGGGUAGCAAACAGGAUUAGAUACCCUGGUAGUCCACGCUGUAAACGAUGAAUACUAGGUGUCGGAUUAAAAAUUCGGCGUCGCAGCAAACGCAUUAAGUAUUCCACCUGGGGAGUACGAUCGCAAGGUUGAA
Molecule: ribosomal RNA, 371 nt
Filed under: uncultured bacterium
Lineage: Bacteria
Description: bacterial SSU rRNA
Rfam family: Bacterial small subunit ribosomal RNA
Source: RNAcentral